GCAGCAGUGGGGAAUUUUGGACAAUGGGCGCAAGCCUGAUCCAGCAAUGCCGCGUGCAGGAAGAAGGCCUUCGGGUUGUAAACUGCUUUUGUACGGAACGAAACGGCUCUGGUUAAUACCUGGGGCUAAUGACGGUACCGUAAGAAUAAGCACCGGCUAACUACGUG
RNAcentral lists this ribosomal RNA (167 nucleotides) under uncultured bacterium. RNAcentral's name for it is "partial 16S ribosomal RNA". It matches the Rfam family "Bacterial small subunit ribosomal RNA", at positions 348 to 507 of the family's 1533-position model. The record is from RNAcentral.